AGUGAACGCUGGCGGUAGGCCUAACACAUGCAAGUCGAACGGCAGCACAGUAAGAGCUUGCUCUUACGGGUGGCGAGUGGCGGACGGGUGAGGAAUACAUCGGAAUCUACUUUUUCGUGGGGGAUAACGUAGGGAAACUUACGCUAAUACCGCAUACGACCUACGGGUGAAAGCAGGGGAUCUUCGGACCUUGCGCGGUUGAAUGAGCCGAUGUCGGAUUAGCUGGUUGGCGGGGUAAAGGCCCACCAAGGCGACGGUCGGUAGCUGGUCUGAGAGGAUGAUCAGCCACACUGGAACUGAGAGACGGUCCAGACUCCUACGGGAGGCAGCGGUGGGGAAUAUUGGACAAUGGGCGCAAGCCUGAUCCAGCCAUACAGCGUGGGUGAAGAAGGCCUUCGGGUUGUAAAGCCCUUUUGUUGGGAAAGAAAAGCAGCAGGUUAAUACCCCGCUGUUCUGACGGUACCCAAAGAAUAAGCACCGGCUAACUUCGU
Molecule: ribosomal RNA, 491 nt
Filed under: uncultured bacterium
Lineage: Bacteria
Description: partial 16S ribosomal RNA
Rfam family: Bacterial small subunit ribosomal RNA
Source: RNAcentral